GGAAGUGUACCCAAGUGGCUAUAAGGGGGGAGACUUGAAAUCUCUUAGUUCGGAUGAGUAAUUCGGAGCGUGGGUUCAAAUCCUACCACUUCCG
Molecule: transfer RNA, 94 nt
Filed under: Bacilli bacterium
Lineage: Bacteria; Bacillati; Bacillota; Bacilli
Description: tRNA-Ser
Rfam family: tRNA
About the family: Transfer RNA (tRNA) molecules are approximately 80 nucleotides in length. Their secondary structure includes four short double-helical elements and three loops (D, anti-codon, and T loops). Further hydrogen bonds mediate the characteristic L-shaped molecular structure. tRNAs have two regions of fundamental functional importance: the anti-codon, which is responsible for specific mRNA codon recognition, and the 3' end, to which the tRNAs corresponding amino acid is attached (by aminoacyl-tRNA synthetases). tRNAs cope with the degeneracy of the genetic code in two manners: having more than one tRNA (with a specific anti-codon) for a particular amino acid; and 'wobble' base-pairing, i.e. permitting non-standard base-pairing at the 3rd anti-codon position.
Source: RNAcentral